UCUUGGUCAUUUAGAGGAAGUAAAAGUCGUAACAAGGUUUCCGUAGGUGAACCUGCGGAAGGAUCAUUACCGAGAUUAGGGGGCCUUGGCCCUCGAACCUCCAACCCUUGACUGAAACUACCGCGUUGCUUUGGCGGGCCCGCCCUGAAAACGGGCCGCCGGGGGUGUCGCUGCCUCUGGCCCGUGCCCGCCAGUAGCCACAAUCAACCCUUUUUUUAACUGUGACGUCUGAGUGCAAAUACAAAUGUACGUAAAACUUUCAACAACGGAUCUCUUGGUUCUGGCAUCGAUGAAGAACGCAGCGAAAUGCGAUAAGUAAUGCGAAUUGCAGAGUUUUUGUGAGUCAUCGAAUCUUUGAACGCAUAUUGCGCCCUCUGGUAUUCCGGAGGGCAUGCCUGUCCGAGCGUCAUUAUCAACCCUCAAGCCCUGCUUGCUGUUGGACCCCUCGACGAAAGUCGACGGCCCCAAAGACAAUGACGGCGUUGUGGCAGCCCCCAGAUGCAAUGAGCUUUAACACGCACGCAUCACGGUGGUACCAUGACCCCCGUCUUUAACAAUUCUUCUAAGGUUGACCUCGGAUCAGGUAGGAAUACCCGCUGAACUUAAGCAUAUCAAUAAGCGGAGGA
This 626-nucleotide ribosomal RNA is filed under the name leotiomyceta sp. 3 RB-2011. Its description in RNAcentral is "eukaryotic LSU rRNA". The stretch from base 255 to 409 matches the Rfam family "5.8S ribosomal RNA". The record is from RNAcentral. Lineage: Eukaryota; Fungi; Ascomycota.